UUAAUUCUUAGAAUCAUAUCAGACGCAGACCAUAUCUCAGCAUAAAAGCGACGCCGGAGCGCCGAACCACAAUUGCUAUCCACGGGUUUUUGGCAAGGUUUGAAGGCCGACUGGCCAUUCAUUAAUGAUCCCUCCGCAGGUUCACCUACGGAAA
Molecule: unclassified non-coding RNA, 154 nt
Filed under: uncultured fungus
Lineage: Eukaryota; Fungi
Description: sequence contains ITS1
Source: RNAcentral